This 200-nucleotide ribosomal RNA is filed under the name uncultured bacterium. RNAcentral's name for it is "partial 16S ribosomal RNA". It matches the Rfam family "Bacterial small subunit ribosomal RNA", at positions 28 to 205 of the family's 1533-position model. The record is from RNAcentral.
GAUGAACGCUGGCGGCGUGCCUAAUACAUGCAAGUCGAGCGGCAGCUUGUUUUGCACUGUCUUCUGGAGUUUUAUCUCGAGAUGAUUGUGCAAAAUGAAGGCGAGCGGCGGACGGCUGAGUAACGCGUGGGAACGUGCCCCAAAGUGAGGGAUAAGCACCGGAAACGGUGUCUAAUACCGCAUAUGAUCUUCGGAUUAAA